GAAAUUUUGCAGCUUAACUGUAACAGUGCCGUUGAUACUGUAGGGCUAGGAUUUGGUUGCUGUGGGUGGAAUGUGUGGUGUAGCGGUGAAAUGCUUAGAUAUCACACAGAAUAUCGAUUGCGAAGGCAGCUCACAAAGCCAAGAUUGACGCUGAGGCACGAAAGUGUGGGGAUCAAACAGGAUUAGAUACCCUGGUAGUCCACACUGUAAACGAUGAUAACUCGCUGCCGGCGAUACACAGUCGGUGGCCAAGCGAAAGCGAUAAGUUAUCCACCUGGGGAGUACGACCGCAAGGUUGAAACUCAAAGGAAUUGACGGGGGCCCGCACAAGCGGAGGAACAUGUGGUUUAAUUCGAUGACACGCGAGGAACCUUACCCGGGCUCGAACGGUGCAUGAAUAUACAAGAGAUUGUAUAGUCCUUCGGGACAUGUAUCGAGGUGCUGCAUGGUUGUCGUCAGCUCGUGCCGUGAGGUGUCGGCUUAAGUGCCAUAACGAGCGCAACCCUUGUCAUUAGUUACCAUCAGGUCAAGCUGGGGACUCUAAUGAGACUGCCACCGUAAGGUGUGAGGAAGGGGGGGAUGACGUCAAAUCAGCACGGCCCUUAUGUCCGGGGCGACACACGUGUUACAAUGGGGGGUACAGAGGGCAGCCAUCCGGCGACGGAGCGCUAAUCUCAAAAACCCUUCUCAGUUCGGAUUGGAGUCUGCAACUCGACUCCAUGAAGUUGGAUUCGCUAGUAAUCGCGCAUCAGCCAUGGCGCGAUGAAUACGUUCCCGGGCCUUGUACACACCGCCCGUCAAGCCAUGAAAGCUUGGGGUGCCUGAAGUUCGUGACCGCAAGAGCGACCUAA
RNAcentral lists this ribosomal RNA (851 nucleotides) under uncultured bacterium. Its description in RNAcentral is "bacterial SSU rRNA". It matches the Rfam family "Bacterial small subunit ribosomal RNA", at positions 596 to 1460 of the family's 1533-position model. The record is from RNAcentral.